This 227-nucleotide ribosomal RNA is filed under the name uncultured bacterium. RNAcentral's name for it is "partial 16S ribosomal RNA". The record is from RNAcentral.
CUGCUGCCUCCCGUAGGAGUCUGGGCCGUAUCUCAGUCCCAAUGUGGCCGUUCAACCUCUCAGUCCGGCUACUGAUCGUCGCCUUGGUAGGCCGUUACCCCACCAACUAGCUAAUCAGCCGCAAGCUCAUCUAUCAGCGAAUUGCUUCUUUCCCACUAUCAUCAUGCGAUGACUAUGGCAUAUGCGGUAUUAGCAGUGAUUUCUCACUGUUAUUCCCCUCUGAUAGG